Molecule: non-coding RNA, 303 nt
Organism: Cinara cedri
Lineage: Eukaryota; Metazoa; Arthropoda; Insecta; Hemiptera; Aphididae
Source: the annotation of a GenBank genome assembly
AAAUUCCAGCGCUGCUCUCCACUGAGAUAGGUAAAAUAUCUUAUCGGAAAACACGAGUAUAUCUACUUAUCUAAAAAUUAAUUUUUUUAACGGUAAGUAAAAAAACUAAACAGUUGAUACUGUUUGCACAGCCCACAUGUAUACAACUUCUGUAAGUAGCUGUAGAUAUAGUUGGGAAUGUACGGAUGGUACAGAAUAUUUUAGUUUAUAUACGUGAUGCAACGAUAAAUCAUGGCAAACAAAAACCGAUCCUGAGCGGAGUAGUAUUUCUUCUCUCGUUUCCAAGAUAACGAAGAAAUCAAC